Molecule: unclassified non-coding RNA, 329 nt
Filed under: soil metagenome
Description: partial contains 5.8S ribosomal RNA, internal transcribed spacer 2, and large subunit ribosomal RNA
Rfam family: 5.8S ribosomal RNA (bases 1-120)
Source: RNAcentral
GAUGAAGAACGUAGCGAAAUGCGAUAAGUAGUGUGAAUUGCAGAAUUCAGUGAAUCAUCGAAUCUUUGAACGCACAUUGCGCCCCCUGGUAUUCCGGGGGGCAUGCCUGUCCGAGCGUCAUUACAACCCUCAAGCUCAGCUUGGUAUUGGGCCCCGCCGACCCGGCGGGCCCUAAAGUCAGUGGCGGUGCCGUCCGGCUCCGAGCGUAGUAAUUCUUCUCGCUCUGGAGGUCCGGUCGUGUGCUCGCCAGCAACCCCCAAUUUUUUUCAGGUUGACCUCGGAUCAGGUAGGGAUACCCGCUGAACUUAAGCAUAUCAAUAAGCGGAGGA